Raphanus sativus (radish) is the source of this 663-nucleotide RNA transcript. It is a transcript of the gene named protein NONRESPONDING TO OXYLIPINS 2, mitochondrial, with no coding region annotated. The record is from RefSeq and is a predicted model, not a curated record. The transcript is spliced from 5 exons. NCBI's taxonomy places the organism in Eukaryota, Viridiplantae, Streptophyta, Magnoliopsida, Brassicales, Brassicaceae.
GCGUCCUAAAACCCUAUAAAUAAAUCCUCUGUAGAAGAAAACGACGAAAGGUCGAAUCUCGCCUUCUCUAUCUCUCUCACAAUGGCUUCGGCUUGCAACAGAUUCAUGAGAAGAUCCUCCGUCUCGUCUCUCAGAUCCGCCAUCAGAUCAUCUCUUCACAAAUCUCCAGUUGGCACCGGAACUCCGCCGAGUGCUUCUUCAUCCGCCGGGUUUCGGAUUCCGUCUAAACCCGCUGCUUCUCCCAGAUUCUCCUUCUCCAGGUGUCCAUCUGAGCUUGGUUGUGUUCAGUCGCUGUUGCCGCUUCACAGCACGGUGGCGGCUGCUAGGCUGACGUCGUGCCUUAGCCUAACAUCCAGAAGCAGCCGAGCUCUCUCUCAGGGCACAUAAAUUUCACCGUUACCAUGUGGGAUCCUUGCAUCUUUAUCAAAUGGAAUCGAUGACACGUGAGACGUAUUUGCAGUUGUUUUUUAAAGAGAUGGGCCUUUCAGUCCCAAGGUGACCCACCUGAUACAUUCAUGAAGAGUAUUACUAUCAGGGGAGGCAAGUUUCUUCUAAAGACAAGAAGUGUUUUUUUUUGUUUGCGACUCCAAACUCUUGUUCGUGAAGAAAACUGUGUAAUACUAUUUCUGCUCUUUACACAAUUCAUAUCUCAGAUUCUAUCCA